CAGUCGCCGCGGUAAUACGAGGGGGGCAAGCGUUGUUCGGAAUUAUUGGGCGUAAAGGGUGCGUAGGCGGUUUGGCAAGUUUGGUGUGAAAUCUUCGGACUCAACUCGAAGUCUGCAUCGAAAACUGCCGGGCUUGAGUAUGGGAGAGGUGAGUGGAAUUUCCGGUGUAGCGGUGAAAUGCGUAGAUAUCGGAAGGAACACCUGUGGCGAAAGCGGCUCACUGGACCAUAACUGACGCUGAUGCACGAAAGCUAGGGGAGCAAACAGGAUUAGAUACCCCGGUAGUCCCUGUCUCUUAUAC
RNAcentral lists this ribosomal RNA (301 nucleotides) under uncultured bacterium. RNAcentral describes it as "partial 16S ribosomal RNA". It matches the Rfam family "Bacterial small subunit ribosomal RNA", at positions 509 to 807 of the family's 1533-position model. The record is from RNAcentral.